This 242-nucleotide transfer-messenger RNA is filed under the name Rhodospirillum rubrum ATCC 11170. Its description in RNAcentral is "tmRNA, 10Sa RNA". It matches the Rfam family "Alphaproteobacteria transfer-messenger RNA", at positions 40 to 263 of the family's 355-position model. Rfam says of the family: Bacterial tmRNA, also known as 10Sa RNA or SsrA, is named for its dual tRNA and mRNA-like properties. Its role is to liberate the mRNA from a stalled ribosome. The record is from RNAcentral. Lineage: Bacteria; Pseudomonadati; Pseudomonadota; Alphaproteobacteria; Rhodospirillales; Rhodospirillaceae.
GCCGGCUUGUCCGGCUAUGACGCUAAACCCUUUAUGGAAUAAGCGUUGUGGACCCGGGGGCGGUACCCGGCGCCUCCACCAUUCGCCCAAGUCUCCGGCCUCAGCGCCGGAGACCGGGUUCCUGGGGGCGAAAUAGGAUCGACACGCGUGGUAAAGAUAAAGGUUGUGUUCGGCAUGGUAUCCACCGUUAUCGGGCCAACUCUGACAAGUGCCAACGACAACGUUGAACUUGCCGCUGCGGC